This 664-nucleotide ribosomal RNA is filed under the name uncultured archaeon. Its description in RNAcentral is "bacterial SSU rRNA". It matches the Rfam family "Archaeal small subunit ribosomal RNA", at positions 144 to 811 of the family's 1478-position model. The record is from RNAcentral.
AGAUAAUACCUGAUAGAGGAUAAAUACUGGAAGGUUUUAUUCUUCAAAGCUUCGGCACCUGAGGAUGGGACUGCGUCGGAUUAGCUUGUUGUCGGGAUAAUUACCCGACAAGGCGAUAAUCCGUACGGGUUGUGAGAGCAAUAGCCCGGAGAUGGAUUCUGAGACAUGAAUCCAGGUCCUACGGGACGCAGCAGGCGCGAAACCUUCACAAUGCCUGAAAGGGUGAUGAGGGAACUCUGAGUGACUUCGCAAUGCGAAGUCUUUUGCCAAGUGCAAAAAGCUCGGUGAAUAAGUGGUGGGCAAGACAGUUGCCAGCCGCCGCGGUAAUAACUGCGCCACGAGUGGUGAUCUCGUUUAUUGGGCUUAAAGCGUUCGUAGCCGGUUUUAUAAGCAUCUGGUGAAAUCCGAUAGUAAACUAUUGGGCUGGCUAGGUGUACUGUAAGACUAGGGACCGGUAGGGGCCGGGAGUACUCCUAGGGUAGGGGUUAAAUCCUUUAAUCCUAGGGGGACUACCAGUGGCGAAGGCGCCCGGCUAGAACGGGUCCGACGGUGAGGGACGAAAGCUGGGGGAGCGAUCCGGAUUAGAUACCCGGGUAGUCCCAGCUGUAAACGAUGCCCGCUUGGUGUGGUGAAACUUUCGUGGUUUUGCCGUACCGUAGCGAAA